AACGAACGCUGGCGGCGCGCCUAAUACAUGCAAGUCGAGCGAGAAGACGUAGCAAUACGUUUGUAAAGCGGCGAACGGGUGAGGAAUACAUGGGUAACCUACCCUCGAAUGGGGAAUAACUAGCCGAAAGGUUAGCUAAUACCGCGUACGCUCCUUGGACUUCGGUUCAGGGAGGAAAGCGAUGCCGAGGGUAUCGCGCUCUUGGAUGGGCUCAUGUCCUAUCAGCUUGUUGGGAGGUAACGGCUCACCAAGGCUUCGACGGGUAGCUGGUCUGAGAGGACGAUCAGCCACACUGGCACUGCGACACGGGCCAGACUCCUACGGGAGGCAGCAGUAAGGAAUAUUGCGCAAUGGGCGAAAGCCUGACGCAGCGACGCCGCGUGGGGGA
RNAcentral lists this ribosomal RNA (388 nucleotides) under uncultured bacterium. Its description in RNAcentral is "bacterial SSU rRNA". It matches the Rfam family "Bacterial small subunit ribosomal RNA", at positions 29 to 408 of the family's 1533-position model. The record is from RNAcentral.